RNAcentral lists this small RNA (722 nucleotides) under Pongo abelii (Sumatran orangutan). RNAcentral's name for it is "processed transcript". Lineage: Eukaryota; Metazoa; Chordata; Mammalia; Primates; Hominidae. The record is from RNAcentral.
CUUUCCAGUGGACCUGGGCUAUUGUUGCGGUUGUUUUCCUUCUCUCCGUGCAACGCUGGCAAGUCUCAAAGUCGCCACAGAUGCUGAAGUACUCUUUCCCAGUGGGACUAAGAACCAGCAGAACAGAUAUACUUUCUCUCCAGAUGUCUCUCCAGCAGAACUUUUCCCCAUUUCCAAGGCCUUGGCUUUCUUCAUCAUUUCCAGUGUAUAUGAGCAAGACACAGUGCUAUCAUACAUCCCCCUGCAGCUUUAAAAAGAAGCAGAAGCAAGCACUUCCAGCCAGGCCACCAAGCACCAUCACUUACCUAACUGACAGCCCAAAGCCAGCAUUAUAUGUAACUCUGGCAGGACUAAUCCCCUUCAUUGCUCCACCACUGGUCAUGCUGAUGACAAAAACUUAUAUUCCCAUAUUAGCUUUUACUCAGAUGGCUUAUGGAGCCAGUUUCCUAUCUUUCUUGGGUGGGAUCAGAUGGGGUUUUGCUCUACCAGAAGGUAGUCCAGCCAAACCAGACUACCUUAAUUUAGCUAGCAGUACAGCUCCUCUUUUCUUUUCAUGGUUUGCCUUCCUUAUUUCUGAAAGACUUAGUGAAGCCAUAGUCACAGUAAUAAUGGGUAUGGGGGUAGCAUUCCACCUUGAACUUUUUCUCUUACCACAUUAUCCCAACUGGUUUAAAGCCCUGAGGAUAGCAGUCACUUUAUUGGCCACUUUUUCAUUUAUAAUC